UAGGGAAUCUUCCGCAAUGGGCGAAAGCCUGACGGAGCAACGCCGCGUGAGUGAUGAAGGUCUUCGGAUCGUAAAACUCUGUUAUUAGGGAAGAACAAAUGUGUAAGUAACUAUGCACGUCUUGACGGUACCUAAUCAGAAAGCCACGGCUAACUACGUGCCAGCAGCCGCGGUAAUACGUAGGUGGCAAGCGUUAUCCGGAAUUAUUGGGCGGAAAGCGCUCGUAGGCGGUUUUUUAAGGCUGAUGUGAAAGCCCACGGCUCAACCGUGGAGGGUCAUUGGAAACUGGAAAACUUGAGUGCAGAAGAGGAAAGUGGAAUUCCAUGUGUAGCGGUGAAAUGCGCAGAGAUAUGGAGGAACACCAGUGGCGAAGGCGACUUACUGAUCUGUAACUGACGCUGAUGUGCGAAAGCGUGGGGAUCAAACAGG
This 429-nucleotide ribosomal RNA is filed under the name Actinomycetes bacterium. Its description in RNAcentral is "Actinobacteria bacterium partial 16S ribosomal RNA". It matches the Rfam family "Bacterial small subunit ribosomal RNA", at positions 355 to 776 of the family's 1533-position model. The record is from RNAcentral. Lineage: Bacteria; Bacillati; Actinomycetota; Actinomycetes.